CCAGCCGUGGUUAGUGGAAACUUCGCUGAUAACUGGAUCUACUGGGUUGGCCCAUUGAUUGGAGGAGGUUUGGCCGGGCUCAUUUAUGGAGAUGUCUUCAUUGGUUCCUAUGCCGCUGUCCCAGCCUCUGAAACCUAUCCUUAAAAAACAUCCCUUAUUGUUCUCGUUUGUUCCUUCAAGCUUUUUCUCUUUCUUCAACGUUUGCUGUCCUGUACCUUCAAUUUUCCUUUCACCGCUUGUAAUAAUUCUGUAAAUUUUAAAUUGAAGUCGAAGCAUGCCUUGUUGGAACUCCCGUUAUUUUUCCGUUUGCAUCCUAACGAUAAUAAUAACCGCGACCG
RNAcentral lists this long non-coding RNA (338 nucleotides) under Vigna radiata. RNAcentral describes it as "long non-coding RNA (VRAD_LNC010846)". The record is from RNAcentral. Lineage: Eukaryota; Viridiplantae; Streptophyta; Magnoliopsida; Fabales; Fabaceae.